ACCAGACUCCUACGGGAGGCAGCAGUGGGGGAUAUUGCACAAUGGGGGGAACCCUGAUGCAGCGACGCCGCGUGGGUGAAGAAGCGCCUCGGCGCGUAAAGCCCUGUCAGCAGGGAAGAAAAUGACGGUACCUGAAGAAGAAGCCCCGGCUAACUACGUGCCAGCAGCCGCGGUAAUACGUAGGGGGCAAGCGUUAUCCGGAUUUACUGGGUGUAAAGGGGGCGCAGACGGCGAUGCAAGCCAGGAGUGAAAGCCCGGGGCCCAACCCCGGGACUGCUCUUGGAACUGCGUGGCUGGAGUGCAGGAGGGGCAGGCGGAAUUCCUGGUGUAGCGGUGAAAUGCGUAGAUAUCAGGAGGAACACCGGUGGCGAAGGCGGCCUGCUGGACUGCGACUGACGUUGAGGCCCGAAAGCGUGGGGAGCAAACAGGAUUAGAUACCCCUGUACU
This 447-nucleotide ribosomal RNA is filed under the name uncultured bacterium. RNAcentral describes it as "partial 16S ribosomal RNA". It matches the Rfam family "Bacterial small subunit ribosomal RNA", at positions 330 to 794 of the family's 1533-position model. The record is from RNAcentral.